This 58-nucleotide ribosomal RNA is filed under the name Kitasatospora griseola. Lineage: Bacteria; Bacillati; Actinomycetota; Actinomycetes; Kitasatosporales; Streptomycetaceae. The record is from RNAcentral. RNAcentral also lists the same sequence under 1 other name.
UUCGGUGGUCAUAGCGUGAGGGAAACGCCCGGUUACAUUCCGAACCCGGAAGCUAAGC